CGGGGACUUGAGCGGUCUCCCCGUCUGCCAAGGGUGCCGUCCGGUGCCCCAAGUACUGC
RNAcentral lists this non-coding RNA (59 nucleotides) under Polaromonas sp. JS666. The record is from RNAcentral. Lineage: Bacteria; Pseudomonadati; Pseudomonadota; Betaproteobacteria; Burkholderiales; Comamonadaceae.